This 303-nucleotide long non-coding RNA is filed under the name Androctonus crassicauda. Lineage: Eukaryota; Metazoa; Arthropoda; Arachnida; Scorpiones; Buthidae. The record is from RNAcentral.
AAUGUUGGCUGCCACUGCCCACCCCUGCACUGAGUCUUUAUGGACUACCCGUUGCCCACUGCCCGACCACUUCCACCUGGACACAACUUGCUCAAAGGCUGGUGACUUGUGGGCCAUUCAUCUACAACCAAGUCCUGAUGGAGCAAGAGGCCCAAGCCUAGGGGAUGCAAGAACGACCCAUUUCUUAAAUGUUACCAGUCCCAGCCAACCUUUUGGUGACAUUACGGUUAAUUUUCCCAAUUGAAAGUAAGCCAACAGACACUCAAACUGGUUGUGUAAAUGUUGCUAGACUUUAUGUGUUGU